Molecule: small nucleolar RNA, 107 nt
Organism: Arabidopsis thaliana (thale cress)
Lineage: Eukaryota; Viridiplantae; Streptophyta; Magnoliopsida; Brassicales; Brassicaceae
Rfam family: Plant small nucleolar RNA R71
About the family: R71 is a member of the C/D box family of snoRNAs containing the C (UGAUGA) and D (CUGA) box motifs. Multiple nearly identical copies of this snoRNA have been identified in Arabidopsis, and it is thought to function as a 2'-O-ribose methylation guide for 18S ribosomal RNA.
Source: Rfam
AAACCAUGAUGAGGACAUUGCGUCUGAUAUCCCAUGAAGCGCUCCCAUGCUUCAAAGAAAGUCUCGGCAUUUUUCUAGGUGAAAGCGGAAAGCUUAUUCCGGAGUCU